This 497-nucleotide ribosomal RNA is filed under the name uncultured bacterium. RNAcentral describes it as "partial 16S ribosomal RNA". It matches the Rfam family "Bacterial small subunit ribosomal RNA", at positions 28 to 507 of the family's 1533-position model. The record is from RNAcentral.
GAUGAACGCUGGCGGCGUGCCUAAUACAUGCAAGUCGAGCGAACGGACGAGAAGCUUGCUUCUCUGAUGUUAGCGGCGGACGGGUGAGUAACACGUGGAUAACCUACCUAUAAGACUGGGAUAACUUCGGGAAACCGUAGCUAAUACCGGAUAAUAUUUUGAACCGCAUGGUUCAAAAGUGAAAGACGGUCUUGCUGUCACUUAUAGAUGGAUCCGCGCUGCAUUAGCUAGUUGGUAAGGUAACGGCUUACCAAGGCAACGAUGCAUAGCCGACCUGAGAGGGUGAUCGGCCACACUGGAACUGAGACACGGUCCAGGCUCCUACGAGAGGCAGCAGUAGGGAAUCGUCCGCAAUGGGCGGGAGCCUGACGGAGCAGCGCCGCGUGAGUGAUGAAGAUCUUCGGAUCGUAAAACUCUGUUAUUAGGGAAGAACAUAUGUGUAAGUAACUGUGCACAUCUUGACGGUACCUGAUCAGAAAGCCACGGCUAACUACGUG